RNAcentral lists this long non-coding RNA (422 nucleotides) under Pelobates cultripes (western spadefoot toad). The record is from RNAcentral. Lineage: Eukaryota; Metazoa; Chordata; Amphibia; Anura; Pelobatidae.
AGUCAUUCACUUCUCGUCUGAAGGCAGAAAGAUUCUGUGUGAACCUGUCUCGAUUCUUUGUGAGCAAGUUCCUUUCAAUGCUCUCCAUCAAAUUCUCAAAGCAUAGAUGCAUGGCUUGUUGCUUCUCAGGAGGCUGGCUACUAACAAUGCUGCUCCAUAAGUCAGAGAAAUACUUCUCAUUGAGGAGAAUGAGACCAAGGAGAGGUCUGCUCAUGGACCACUGAUUCCGACAGUCUUCAAAUAUAUAAUGAUAUUGAGAACAGUGGAGAGCAUCUGCUGGAUCAUUUCAGGGUGUUGCUGCAUAAUGUGCAGGAAGCACUCACUCUCUUGUGGUGGUGGGGCUCCUCGUUUCUUACCAGUUCGGGAUAACUGUUUGAAGAGGUAUGUAACUUUGUGGUCCAGACAAGAACAGCAGCCUGAGC